Teleopsis dalmanni is the source of this 811-nucleotide long non-coding RNA. RefSeq lists it as uncharacterized. The transcript has 6 exons. NCBI's taxonomy places the organism in Eukaryota, Metazoa, Arthropoda, Insecta, Diptera, Diopsidae. The record is from RefSeq and is a predicted model, not a curated record.
AAACGAUAAUUAAAAUUAAUAGUAAUUAAAAAACGUUUCAAAAAUGCAAAUCAAUAUCCUUUUAUUCAGAAAAUAUUUUAAGUUAAGAGAUUUAAUCAAAUAUAAAUCACACGAAUCACAUUGCUUGACUUAAAGGAAAUUUCAAUUAAUACAGAAUACACGACUAGAUAAUAGUAUACUAAUACUACACGAGUAGGAUAUUAAUAUAGAGGGACCUAAAAACUGAUGAAGUAAACAAUUUAUAAAUUAUGUUUUCUGUCAAUUAUUCUCUUAUUUUCAAAUGGUAUUUAUUAUUGGCAUUUAAAUCACAUCACGAAAAAAAACUUCGUCUCUAACGUAUAAUAUCUGAAAGAAUUUAUAAUAUGCAAUCAAAAAAUUUUUAAAAACUUUCUUAAAUCAGCUUGGACUAAGUACAUGCAUGACCUUCCUGAGAUUUCUUUUCUGAAAUCAAAAAAAUGUUUGGUUGUUCAUCACUCUAGACUUAACUUACCCAGAUUUCAACUUAAAAGUGUGAAACACAUAAACGAAUAUAAUUUAAAGUUCAGUGUCCAACAUUUUGACCAAUGCUUUUCGAUUUGGCUGUUGAUUCCGAAGACGCGGAAUAUCUGGAAAAUUUAAUGAUUUCUCGAAUAUAGUACCUUUGGAGCAACAGUACCGGGGCAACUGCAAUAAGGAGAUUACGGUGAAUCAAUAUUCAAUUAAAAUUUAAAAUGUAGAAAAUUAUGCGUUCAAUAUUAGCAAAGUGAUUAGUUCAUUGAAAUUAAUAUAUUUUUACUAAUAUUCAAAUUAAAUUAUAUUAAUGAUAACUAUA